This 433-nucleotide ribosomal RNA is filed under the name uncultured bacterium. RNAcentral describes it as "partial 16S ribosomal RNA". It matches the Rfam family "Bacterial small subunit ribosomal RNA", at positions 29 to 507 of the family's 1533-position model. The record is from RNAcentral.
AACGAACGCUGGCGGCAUGCCUAACACAUGCAAGUCGAACGAGACCUUCGUGCCUAGUUGCGCACGUCUGCGUAACGCGUGGUAAGCUGCCCUUAGGUUCGGUACACCUCCCCGAAAGGGGUGUUAAUACCGGAUAAUGUCUUCCGGCCAAAGAUUUAUUGCCAUUGGAUGGGCGCGGGUUGGAUUGGCCAGUUGGUAGUGUAAAAGCCUACCAAGGCGAUGUUCCAUAGCUGGUAUGGGAAGAGGACAAGCCACACUGGCGAUGAGACACGGACCAGACUCGUACGCAAGGCAGCAGAAGGGAAUAUAGUACGAGGGGCGAAAGCCUGGUCCAGCAAUGCGGCGUGAGUGAUGAAGGCCUUAGGGUUGUAAAGCUCUUUUACACGAGGUGAUAAUGACAGUACCGGGAGAAUAAGCUCCGGCUAACUCCGUG